AUCUCAAUGUUGCAGUUGUGGCCUUCCUCGUCCAUCAGAGGUGAUCAACCAUCUAAACACUAACCUUCCCUCAUCUUAUUUCAGAUCGUAACUCUGUUUUAAUUCAAUCAUACUUUGUUUUUCUUGGUACAGGGGACUCUUGGUGGGCAACUUCUUCUUCACCAUGGUUCUCCAGCAACUGCACAAGUAGGUCGACUCUCUUGGAUUGGUGCCCCGUGGAAUUCAGAUUGUAGGUGAUGUAUGGCGCUGCACAAGAGAGGACAUGUCUAUUGGAAACAACUAAAUUUCUCCGUGCCAUGCUACUGCGUGAACUACCGAAUCCAUAAGCAACUCUACACACAAGAGUUCAGGGUUGAAUAGAGUUGUUCCCUCCACAUGGUUGGAAAUUAAGGUUUUGUGUAUACAAAGUUUCAAUAUUGUUGGCUUGUCAUAUUAUUCGGUGGUCACCUACCCAAGCAACAAGCACGGAUUGUGGAAGAAGCGAAAAAUAUACUAGAGAUUAUAUGUGUUUGAAAUCAAAUGCUAGCCCUAGAAAUAUUAGUCGAACAAGUCGUUCAAAUCGUUGUUUUAGUAAUGUAUAUAAGUCAAUAUGACUUUGGUAAUGAAGUUGAUCAAAUUUCUUCUUUUUAUUUACCUUUUUUUUCUCUGAACCAUUUUUAUCCUUUUCUUCCUGAAUCACAUAACUAACGUAGUUUAACUAUCAGGUCUUCAGUAUAAACGGACAAAGGAAGAAAUGUUCUUCAAGUCUCAAGCGUUGUUGGGUUCUGACGGUGAGAAUAUCUUUUACAGUGAGGUAAGGACAUAACUAGACAUGUACAACAAGUUUGCAAUCGUUAUCAGUGUUCUGCCCUCAUGGUGCCUUAAGUUGCUUCCAUUAUCUUUCUAUGAAUCUUUCAAAAUCUAGCUUUGGUACUGAUGCUUUUGAAUGCUCACUUGUAUUUACUUAACUAAAAGCUACCAAUUGUGAUACGUAAUUUCCAAGUUUUUUUUCGUAUGUACCAGCUUUUGGCUAUCCUGGGUGGUGGGAAUGGCGCUAGAGAGUUCUCAGUUUAAUGCCGUGUAUUAUGACAGCAAGAUGGUAUAGCUGCAGUAAGUUACCUCUGCCUCUUUUUUAUAUUAAACUUUGGAGGUCAUAAGAAGCUUUCUUUCUUGUUCGAUGACACCAUGUACUUUGUGUAAUGGUUGCAAUAUUCAUGAACCAAGCUGAUACGAACCAAAUACCUUUGCAAAUCAAUUGUUGACAUGAACUUUGGGAUUUUUCACUUAAUAUGUUGAAAUGCCUAUGAAUAUUGUUGAGAUGAACCUCUAAGAGGCAUAUACACUUGUGGUAUAAAAACUCCUGCCCGUACAUGCUGCUUACCAAUUUAAAUUUUGAUCAUCUUACAAAUCCAACACUUCCAUAAAUUAAUUAUUGGUAGGGUGGGAAUUUACUAUGACUCAGUUAGCAAAGCGGGUCUCACCUGCAGAGGAUAUGAUAAAAUAUUCCAGAGCCCGAGGAAGAGAAAUAAACCAAUAUGGUUAUUUCUAUGAUGAAAGGUAUGAGAAGUCAGCUUUAUUUAAAUAUGAAACAAAUGUAAAUUAUUCAGAAAUUGUAUCAUGAGAAGCCCUCACUUAAACUGAAUGAAAAGUUGCUGGUUUUUAGCCAAAUGUUGGAAUGUGGCCAAACUAUGUGAUUUCUUUAUGCUUGGAGGCAAUCAUAAUGACAUAGACUUACUUUCACCAUUUUUAGUUUACCUUUACGUUUAAUAUGCCCUGUUAUGAAAAUGCUACUGAAAGUAGAAUAUGACAUCAGGUUAAUGUACAUUUUUUUCCUUCAUUUCCUUUAGUUACUAAAUUUGUCUUGGGUCAUCUUUAGGCAAUCAUUUCUUUUAUCAUACAUAUCAAAAGUCCCCAAGUUGCUACUCCAGAUAUUUAUUCAAAUUCGGGGCAUUUGGUUUCAGAGUACUGCUUGCUUGGACAAUGAUGUAGUUUAUGAUGGACUUUGGAUAGCAACUUCCGUUCCAAAAUUCUGGAG
RNAcentral lists this long non-coding RNA (2014 nucleotides) under Triticum aestivum (bread wheat). RNAcentral describes it as "long non-coding RNA (TAES_LNC014529)". Lineage: Eukaryota; Viridiplantae; Streptophyta; Magnoliopsida; Poales; Poaceae. The record is from RNAcentral.